GAUGAACGCUGGCGGCGUGCCUAAUACAUGCCAGUCGAGCGAACGGACGAGAAGCUUGCUUCUCUGAUGUUAGCGGCGGACGGGUGAGUAACACGUGGAUAACCUACCUAUAAGACUGGGAUAACUUCGGGAAACCGGAGCUAAUACCGGAUAAUAUUUUGAACCGCAUGGUUCAAAAGUGAAAGACGGUCUUGCUAUCACUUAUAGAUGGAUCCGCGCUGCAUUAGCUAGUUGGUAAGGUAACGGCUUACCAAGGCAACGAUGCAUAGCCGACCUGAGAGGGUGAUCGGCCACACUGGAACUGAGACACGGUCCAGACUCCUACGGGAGGCAGCAGUAGGGAAUCUUCCGCAAUGGGCGAAAGCCUGACGGAGCAACGCCGCGUGAGUGAUGAAGAUCUUCGGAUCGUAAAACUCUGUUAUUAGGGAAGAACAUAUGUGUAAGUAACUGUGCACAUCUUGACGGUACCUAAUCAGAAAGCCACGGCUAACUACGUG
RNAcentral lists this ribosomal RNA (497 nucleotides) under uncultured bacterium. RNAcentral describes it as "partial 16S ribosomal RNA". It matches the Rfam family "Bacterial small subunit ribosomal RNA", at positions 28 to 507 of the family's 1533-position model. The record is from RNAcentral.